Molecule: long non-coding RNA, 1985 nt
Organism: Helicoverpa armigera (cotton bollworm)
Lineage: Eukaryota; Metazoa; Arthropoda; Insecta; Lepidoptera; Noctuidae
Exons: 2
Source: RefSeq, a predicted model, not a curated record
CCUUUUAUUUUUAUUUUACGUUGUGGAGCGAAAGUUAAGACUUGGUGUAGAUGACGCUUUAAUCGACUGUCCCAAGUUUUUUCAAACUGUCGACUUCCUUAUUUUCAUUUUUUUUUGUCGUUUUCAACUUCACUUUGUUGACGUGGUGUUCAACGGUCAUUAAUGCAUAAAUAUCGUUGUUGACGUCGCGUCAACGCUGCGUUGGAUAACGGCUUUAAAAGAUCAAACCAGUCCACGUUUUAAAAAGCCUAUUUCUGGUGACAAGCUACUGACUAGAACUUACUUACUUUUUAUGGUAUCCUGGGAGACCCUCCAUCCUAGUUAAAUUGAUUCCCAAAGGGAAUGAAUGGGUGACUGUGGUAAAAGCAGGCAUGAGUUGACGCCCCAGUUGUUUCAUUGCGAUCACGUAUUAUAAUAUAAUAAACCUUCAGGAUAAUCAUUGACAGUCAUAUGUAAUUUUAUAAUUAACAUGACAUUCAUAAUUAACAUGACAUAAGGAUAUUCGAGAGGAACUUCCUUCAAGGGUUGAUAGAUUUUUAGCCUUUUCGAUGUCACUACAAAUAUGUAGGUAUUUGUUAGCAGCAUAACAGAUUUUACUGCCCCACUCUCUGCACAAGUUAUUGUCGAAUGUCAAUACACUCUGAAAGUCACAACAACUUCAAUAAAACGCCGGGAUUAUAUGCUGCCUAGGUUGAUAAAUAUCACUUCAGAUAACUUAUCACAAAGAUAAUGCUUAGCGAAGUAACAUGUUUUCACAAUAACAUCCCACGCAGCGGGAGAUCCAACGAACCACCAUAUUAUUAGUUCAGAAAUUAACAAUUUAAAUUACUUAUUAUUUUUGUGAAAAUUUAUAACCUGUGCUGUGUACGUAUUUAAUUACGUUAAUCAAGAUUACAGUUUUGAAUUACCUACAUUAUAAAUUAAAGUUGAAUCAAAUAAUUUUAAUACGCAGCGAUGGCGCCUCGGCAGGACAUCGUAGCCCAGCCACAGCCGAUCAGAAUAGAGCAGGGGAGGCAGCCCCCACCGCCCCCGGCUCCCGGGCGCCUCCAGCGACCCCCGCACGACAACCCCACCGUCUAUAUAAACAGGCCCACGAAUAUACCUCGCAACAAUGUCAACACCAGUGAAAUCGCUCGCACGUAGGAAAAUAUACUCAAUGACAACAAAAUUGUAUUUUCAGGCUAGACGGGACAUUCACGAACUUUUUUUCUAUUUUCAUUAAGAAUUUUCAUGGCUAAAAGGCUCUUAUCUCACUUGAAUUAAAAGUAAACUUUCAUUGCGUUCCUAAAUAAUUUUAUUGAAAGGAAAAUAAAUUGUUUCUGGUUCGUCGACCGUCGUUAACGUUUUGAUAGAGAAUCUACCGUUUUAACGCAAUGUUAAUAAAUUAUUUUUUUUGUUCACUGCAUGCACUGUUUCUAGUUUUCUAGGUUGUCUUCUAUAAAGUAAGGACUUUGUUUCUACUGACGCGAUUUAAGUGCAUUGGACAUUAUUCUAUUUCGCAAUUUGUUCUUUUAGAACAAAAUGAUUCACGAACUCUGUAAAAAAAAUUCAAAAAGCUAUACCUAUGUUGUUCCUUCUUAAAUUACUAGUAGAUAAUUUCUAGUUACACUUCUCAGAGUCAGCAUUUUAGAAAAUUAAAUCUUAUUAAAAAACAAACAAUUGCAAAAAAGCUUCUUUCUGGAUAUUUUUUUGUCUAAACCACUCUCGGCCCGUUUGGUAAAAUUAUUUGUAACUCUCAAUUUUCAAAAAUUCUAACCGAUAAAUAGAUACUUAGUGUUAAUUUUACCAAUAUGUAAUCGUGAUCGGUGAUCGUAACCACUAAUUUGAAAGUAGGUAAUAUAAUAUUGUAUUUAAAUACAUAUUUACCUUAUAUCAAUAAUGUAGUUUUUAAUUAGUUUAAGAUAAAUAAGACCUAGUUACUGUAUAUAAUUAGAAAUAGGUAUCUAAAAUAAUAAUAUCUGAAUAAAUUAUGGUUGUAAUUUAAA